This 240-nucleotide long non-coding RNA is filed under the name Homo sapiens (human). RNAcentral's name for it is "non-protein coding LINC01871:9". The record is from RNAcentral. Lineage: Eukaryota; Metazoa; Chordata; Mammalia; Primates; Hominidae.
GUUUGAGCAAAGCUGUAGGUGAUUUGACAAAAUCAUCUGCAAAACCAGAUUUCUAACACCUCCCUGCUGUGUAUCUCAUUUCUGCUGAUGUGUGGUGCUUCAUAAGAUGGGGACGUUAAGCAUGCAGCAACUACAGUCAUUUGUUCUCAGAGGAGGGCAUUUCCACUCUGAAUUUCCAGUUCCAAACAUUUCAGUUUUCCACCAAGACAUCAUUCCUGGGUUUGGGAUUCCUGAAUUUUC